AAGAAUACAACAAGCAAUGAAAGAGAUUCAGGGUAUAAUUUCUCCUUUAUUGAGGAUUGCUGGAAGAUGAUAAACCGUAGCAGUAUUUUGAUCAACUGUUGGGUACUUCUUAGGAGUAUCUUUUAGUCUUCUUGGAUUUCUUUUCAAGAUGAGAAGUUUUGCAAUUUUAUUCAUUAGAUUCAGAACUAUCCUUAUCGUAUUGUUAUGUUUUGAUGCUUCAAUGAAAUUGUAGGGGGAAAAUAGUGCCUUACCAGGUUAUUCUCGG
Molecule: long non-coding RNA, 265 nt
Filed under: Panax ginseng (ginseng)
Lineage: Eukaryota; Viridiplantae; Streptophyta; Magnoliopsida; Apiales; Araliaceae
Description: long non-coding RNA (PGIN_LNC015785)
Source: RNAcentral